UGCUGUCUCUCACAAAUGAACAGUAACUAAUAGCUUUGGGAAUUUGCUGUUGAGUAUUCACUGACAUAAAUUUUGCUAUAAAAUAGUAUUAGGAGUAUUCAUCUUAGCCAUUGUAGGGAAAUUCUUCUUCUCAUUUUGGCAGGCUGUGUACUUACUGAGAAUAUCUUCCAUCCUGGAAAGACAUGAACAUGGCUUUCAAGAGCUACAAAUACUUGGCAAAAUCCUGUUACUUGGCUAGGGCACAAAAGAAGGGAGCGGCAUGAAUCACUCUGUGCCUGUAAUCUCUCAGGGUAACGCUUCAAACACACAAACAUGAAUUCACUAUUUUAGAGCACUCCACAGCAGGACCGUGUUGUAAGCAAUCCUUUGUCAAAGAUGAUUAUUACAUCACAGACUGUGUACUUGUGUGACACCCAUGCAUGGAUGGACAGGCACAGGGCUCAUGCCAGGGUAACUAUGAUGAAUACAAACUUCACCAAUGAAGAUGACUUGUGUUGUCUUCCAAGAAGCAUCCAAGCAGCAUCUUCACUACAUUCUUCCCAGCUGUGGUAGUAGGUCCCCAGCCUGGAAAAUCACACCACACAGACUGCAAGACCUCCAGAAGCAAAGCACUCCUCACAGAACUCACAGAAAAAGGUCAGAGGGCAGUGCAACCUACUUCUGGAAACACCCCCUAGAAAAGCCUAGGGAAGCAAGACCAUUUACAACAAUAUACAAUUCCUGGCAAACUUGUUUGUUGACCCCAGACCAUUUUCAUCUGCAAGUCAGAGUAGUAAGGCAUGUCUGGCCACAUGAGGAGUGAUGGAGUAACAGUAUUUGUGCUGUGCUGAUCAUUAAAAAUUAAAAUAACGCCAAGAUGAUGGAGAACUAAGGGGUUCAGCAAGAACCCCUCACCUUGCAGGAGCUCUAAAUUAAGAGACACAGGGAAAACAAACAAGCAAACGAACGAAACAGCCAAAACAGGUAGGAACAUGAGAAUUAAAGGCACGGCCAGCUGCAUAGCAGCCCCAAAUCCCUGAAAGGACGAUACGAAUUGCCAGUAAUACUGCGGCCUGAGCACCCUCUGGUGGCCCAGAAAGAACAGCUCCAGAGAUGAAAACGCGGUCCCGCAAGGGCAGGAACGCGGGAGAACGCGGCGUCUCACCGACCUUGUUCGGACAAUUGAUCACUGUUCGCACGUCUUCACUGGAAGACAGGAGAACAACUAAACAUUCAAAACCAGUUUAAUUAUUUAUCUUCAUGCAUUUUGUUCCUAGCAUUUGCUUAAUUUUCAUGUCAUCUGACUGGUUAAGAACUUGUGUUAAUUUAAAACUAUUUUAGUACAAUAAUUUUCUUUGGAAUGUGAUAUUAGAAUCAAAUUUAAAAAAAAGACAGUAUAACAAUAUUGGGAGGGAAAUAUGGAGGAAAAAGAAGUAAAUUUUGAAGUGCUUUUCAAUAUAUUGAUGCCAUCAAAGUAUAUUUUAAUUUAAUUGCAGAACAUACUGAAGUUACUUGGUUUCCAUGCAAGGCUAUUCACUGUUUUGCACUUGUAUUUAACCUGGAAAAAUAGUGGAGAGUGAUCUAAUCUGUCGUGUUCAUACACCACAGCUUUAUAGUUCCAUAUUUUUCAGGAAAAAAUUAAACUAAAUUUUACAUAUGGGAGUAUUUUUACCUAUGUACAGAAUGUUUCAUGUUUUACUCUUUUCUGCAAUUAUUUGACUUACAGUCUGUUAUCAGUUGGGUUCACUGUUCAAGAAAUGUAAAAACAGUGUACUGUUUGUCCUGGUUUCAGCCAGGGUAGAGUUAAUUUCUUCUCAGUAGCUGUGACAGUGCUGUGUUUUGGAUUCCAAAUGAGAAUGGUGUUGAUAAUACACUGAUGUUUUGGCUUUUUGCUAAGUCCUGUUUAUCCUAAGCCAAAGACUUUUUUUUCCCUUGUCUCGUGCUCUGCCAGUGAGGAGAUAAAAAUAAACAAACUGGGAGGGAGCAUACUGGAACAGGUAACCCAAAGUGCCCAAAGGGGUACCCCACAUCACAG
Passer domesticus (house sparrow) is the source of this 2014-nucleotide long non-coding RNA. RefSeq lists it as uncharacterized. Lineage: Eukaryota; Metazoa; Chordata; Aves; Passeriformes; Passeridae. The record is from RefSeq and is a predicted model, not a curated record. The transcript has 5 exons.